AAGGAUUUAGCUUAAAAGUUAAAGUGACUGGUUUGCAUUCAGUUGAUGUGAGAUAGAGUCUUGCAAUCCUUA
This 72-nucleotide transfer RNA is filed under the name Molossus molossus (Pallas's mastiff bat). It matches the Rfam family "tRNA". Rfam says of the family: Transfer RNA (tRNA) molecules are approximately 80 nucleotides in length. The record is from Rfam by way of RNAcentral. Lineage: Eukaryota; Metazoa; Chordata; Mammalia; Chiroptera; Molossidae.